Molecule: ribosomal RNA, 403 nt
Filed under: uncultured bacterium
Lineage: Bacteria
Description: bacterial SSU rRNA
Rfam family: Bacterial small subunit ribosomal RNA
Source: RNAcentral
UAGGGAAUAUUGCAAAAUGGGCGAAAGCCCGAUGCAGCAACGCCGCGUGGGCGAUGAAGGCCUUCGGGUCGUAAAGCCCUUUUUGAGGGGAUGAGGAAGGACAGUACCCUCAGAAUAAGCCUCGGCUAACUACGUGCCAGCAGCCGCGGUAAAACGUAGGACGCAAGCGUUAUCCGGAAUUACUGGGCGUAAAGCGCGUGUAGGUGGUUAUGCAAGUCACUUGUGAAAGCUCCCGGCUAAACUGGGAGAGGUGAGGUGAGACUGCAUGGCUAGAGGGCAAUAGGGNGGUGCGGAACUCCGGGUGUAGUGGUGAAAUGCGUAGAUAUCCGGAGGAACACCAGAGGCGAAGGCGGCACCCUGGGUUGUACCUGACACUAAGACGCGAAAGCAUGGGUAGCGAACG